AUAAUGACAAGAUACAUUUCUAGAGAGAAUGAGAAGAGGGACAGAGCAGGAACAGCUGUAGAAGAUACAGAAGUCACAGCGACAGAAGACUGAGGUGUGAGGGUCUGCCAGAACGCCUGCAGGAUAGGCUGCCGUGCUGGGUGAAGGUGGCAGCUCUGGUAAGCAGGGUUAUCUGAACUAUGUGGAGUCAUUUGUUAAUUGCUAAGGGUGGAAAGAUAUGUACAUGUGGAUGUGAAAGCACCUGUACAGCAGAAUUAAAGUGAUGAUAGGUUGUACUUCAGAAAGUCAGCAAUAGCAACUGUGUCGUAAAAAGCAAGAUAGGACAUCAGGUUUCGAUGAGAAAUUAAAAGUAGAGAGGGACAAAUUCAAGAUGUAAUAUUUAUUUUACUAGUAUGACUUUGACUUAUCUUUUAUUAUUAUUUAAUCUACCUUGUGGUUUCACCACUUUGAGGCUGGACAUGUUCAGAAAUAAAUAACUAGGUAAGACAGUGAGGGUGAAUGUAAAUUUAUCUUUAUCAUUUUCUGUUUGUUUGGAGUCAUUCUUGGUUAUUUGUGCUUCUUGGUAGCUAUCCCUGGAUAAGGUGAUGAGAAUUCCCAAUUAAGAUUUCGCAAUCCCCCAUGUUAUCACCUGCCUCUCUUAAAACAGCAAAAGCAGCUGAAUCAGCAAAGCUACAACAACAUCGGUGUUGCACAGCAUUGAUUCAUUCCCUGAGCACUCAUUCAUUCGGAGCAUGGUGUAAGGUGAGGCAGGGCGUGUGCAUGGAGCAAUGAUUUAAUUACAGCCUAGAUAUGCAGAGCAAGGAGUAUGGGAUUGACAUCAUCACCUGGACGUUUGAGGAUAUUUGACUUCAACCCGGCAGGGGGGCUAGUAGUUAAUCUUUGAUAAGGUUCUCUGUGUUUUGCUGCCAUCUACUGCAUGCAAUAUCUGUCCUCUUACUCAUUUUCUCUGAGUAAACUUUCCAUAUGCAAAGAAGAAAAGGUAGAUUUGAAAACAAGGAAGCUGCUAUGUUUCUGGUUCUCAAAUCUUACAAACAAUUCAGACUCUCAUAUUUAUGGAGUUCUAAUCCAGAUCCUAAGUAGGAUUCCCAUUGUUGUGCUCUUUGUAAGGCGGUAAGCGUGAUACUGAGGCACUAAUUCAGCAGUGAUAUUUACUUGUCUCUUGAAUCUGGGCCAGUGGAUCUCGAAGGACUGUGCUUUGCAUGUGGCAUUUAUGCACAAGUUUUUCUAAAUAACUGUGAACCCUCACAGCCAAUGUAUUUUACAACUAGACUGAGAAGUGGGUAGAAAAAGCACUUAGUGGGGUGGGAACGUGCUCCACAGCCAGGUGUUAGCCUUGGGGCAGACAGUCUUUUCCCAAAACACCAUCUGGUAUCUUCUGUUGCCACUCAAUCUGGCCUGUGCGUGCCACUCCUUUCCCACUGGGAUACGCAGGGGAGUGAAUGGGAAUUCUGCUUUGCAAGUGGCAGUUGCACAGGCUUUGUAGCCUGUCUGCAGAGUGGAGACACCCGUGUAUCCACAGGUCUUCUGCCAAAGCUCCAUUUGCUCAAAUCACUGUAUUCUCAAACUGGGACAAUGACCCGCAAAGGGUUCUUCUGUUGCGUAGUUAAGCGCAGAGGAUUUUCGAGUUCAAUAGCCCGGGGUCGGCUUUCCUUCUGUCAGCUCAGCUCUCGCACACCUACAUGCAGUGCUGCCCGGUUCCGCCGUGCUUUGGGAGCCGCGUCCCUUCGGUGCCCACAGAGCGGAGCGGUACGGCUACCAGGAUCGCCUGCAGGAGAGGCCGAGCCUCGGGCUGCCCGGCGGUCUGCGCUGUGCGCGUUGAUGGCCAACAACGAUCGGAGCGUUCUUUUGCACUGCAGAAGCCUUCCGUGGUGACAGUAAGCGCAGCGUUCCCUCUGGCGGCCGCUGUCAGCGCCUUCCACGGGACGUACAGCUCCCAGCGGCCGCCGCUUAAGGACUCCUUUCUCUUUACGUUGUGUAAAUACCUUUUGUUGUUGUUUACGUUCCCGACCAACCGCGGGCAUACCCGAAAGUCAGAACUACCGAACUGCCACGGGACUCCAGCGCCAUUUGGGAGCAGCUCGGCAGAUGGGGAGGAUGUUGGAAACAGCACAAAAAAAAAAAAAAAAAAAAAAACACAAUGAUCUCCUUGGAAAGCCCCAAAAUUGCAUAAUUCUGAAACUCUCUCUCAGCUGUUUAGAAUACCGCGGAUUAUUUCCGAGCCGCGCGGGGCGGUGGGGCCCUUCCGAGGGCUAAUCGCGCUGACUCACGCCGCCCUGUGCCGGCCGCCUCCCGCCGGGGCCGCACCCGCUGGCGGUGCGGGUUCGUUAAGGGCAGGCACCCAGCGCCGGCCCGGGCCCGAGCUCCGGGAAGGGACGAGGGCGCUCUGGAGCCCUCGCCCAGCGGGGGCGGCCGGGUCGGGCUCCGC
Molecule: long non-coding RNA, 2425 nt
Filed under: Gallus gallus (chicken)
Lineage: Eukaryota; Metazoa; Chordata; Aves; Galliformes; Phasianidae
Description: lncRNA (ENSGALG00010010587.1)
Source: RNAcentral